Molecule: ribosomal RNA, 305 nt
Filed under: uncultured bacterium
Lineage: Bacteria
Description: bacterial SSU rRNA
Rfam family: Bacterial small subunit ribosomal RNA
Source: RNAcentral
GAGAUCCUACGGGGGUCAGCAGUGGGUAAUAUUGCACAAUUUUUGAAACCCUGAUGCAGCAACGCCGCGUGAGUGAAGAAGGUCUUCGGAUUGUAAACCCCUGUCAUGUGGGAGCAAAUUAAAAAGAUAGUACCACAAGAGGAAGAGACGGCUAACUCUGUGCCAGCAGCCGCGGUAAUACAGAGGUCUCAAGCGUUGUUCGGAAUCACUGGGCGUAAAGCGUGCGUAGGCUGUUUCGUAAGUCGUGUGUGAAAGGCGCGGGCUCAACCCGCGGACGGCACAUGAUACUGCGAGACUAGAGUAAU